Long non-coding RNA from Meriones unguiculatus (Mongolian gerbil), 1353 nucleotides. RefSeq lists it as uncharacterized. Lineage: Eukaryota; Metazoa; Chordata; Mammalia; Rodentia; Muridae. The record is from RefSeq and is a predicted model, not a curated record. The transcript is spliced from 3 exons.
UGACACCUUGUGGCCAAAACAGUUCUCUGAGUGUUUUGUGUCCACAGCACGGGCUUGGCUUCCUGGGGGUCAUUCAACCGGAAAAGACAUACUUCUGAAGGUUCUUGAAGAUUAUAAUGGUUUCUGAAGUCCUGUCUCAAAGGAUUGCAACUUAGCGGCAGAGCACUUGUUGGCAUAAGCAAGGCCCGUGGUUCAACUCCAGUACAGCAACACAAAACAAGACACCGCAUGUUCUGUUCUACUAAACAAGUGUGUGUGCAUGUGAGUGUGUGUGUGUGUGUGUGUGCGCGCGCGCGCGCGCGUGUGUGUGUACGGAGGUCAGAAGACAACUUCGGGAGUGGGUUCUUUCCUUUCAGCUCCGUAUCUGGGAUCAAACUUGGACAGAGACAGCAUGCAACCAUUGCCCCAGGUCAAGAAGUCUGUGCUUCAUGGAAAGUUCUCGUUCUAGUCUUCAAAGGGGACACCAGUGAGAUGGAUCGGGAGUUCAAGGCCAACAUCGGCUCCAAAGGGACCUUGAGUGGCAAAGUCAUCAUUUGUUGAUAUGGUCAGUUAUUCCAGAGAUACCAAGGAGUCUCCUGAGAUUCAUGAUCUUCCCACUGAUGAUGUCUAAAACUGUGCAGUUAAUGACUCCAUCCAAAACAAACAACAACAGAAAACCAAGUAUAGAAAAUAUUUGUGGGCAACAAAUUUUCUGGAGGGACUGUUUUGGGGAUGCUGAAAGAGCGCUGCACAGCAAGGUCUGAGAAAGGUACUGAGUAAGUGGCCACCUACUCACUCUGAAGCAACAUGAGGCCUUAGAACUGGCUUUGACGAUUCAUGGACCACCGUGGCUACUGAAAAAUGUUUUAAUAGAAUGUCUGAGCACUCAGUACUUUAGUUAUACCCACAAGGAUGUAUAGUUAUAACUUAGUUCUUAACAAAUGCAUGUUCAAACACUAUUUUAAUUAAUUGUGACAUUUUGUUACAGUCUGCUGAUAGUUUAAGCUUCCCCUUCCAUUUAUCAUUCUUCGAGGGACUUUCCACCUCUUGGUAUUUGCCAAACAAUCAUUUCUAGGAACAGUUACAGAAGAAAUGAAGUGCAGUGAAACAGUUUAGCUUUGUGUGUUCUUCAUUUUCAGAGGCAUCUUCACAAUCCCCAAGAUUUCCAAAGUGACUUGCUCCAGCGAGUUUAGUGAUAAAAAUGACUGUUAUGUUUACCGAUAGCUGCUUCCUUGAAUUUAUGGAAUUAUUUUACAUCUUUAAAACUAGAGUAGUUAAGCACAUGGCACAGUCUGUCCCUCAGAUAACUGGGUGUUUGGGGCACUGAAGUUGUUGUAUUUUUUUUUCCUUUAAUAAAAUUUUGUUUUUGUUUCA